RNAcentral lists this long non-coding RNA (338 nucleotides) under Gossypium barbadense (sea-island cotton). RNAcentral's name for it is "long non-coding RNA (GBAR_LNC022130)". Lineage: Eukaryota; Viridiplantae; Streptophyta; Magnoliopsida; Malvales; Malvaceae. The record is from RNAcentral.
GAAUCGGGGACGGAGUACGUAGGCGAUUGAGGCGGCGGAGGGUGAGAAACGUAGGGCAAACCGGAGUAUCUUGGCGGAUGGGGAGGGACAUUUGUGUAAUAAUAGUUAGGAGGGGCAAAAUGGUAAUCAGGCGGUGGAGGAAGGGGACGUUCGCGAAUCCCGAGUUUCACCCGAAUCUUGCCCUGGGGACGACCCGAGGGUCGGAGGAGAGGGAAGGUUCGGAUCUUGGAACGGUCAUCCGGGUCGGGUAAUUCUUUGAGUUCGACACGGAGAGUGGCGACUAACGGCUUAGGUGUUUCCGAUGGCUUGGAGUGAAAAAUCUCGAGGGUUAAAACGAC